This 446-nucleotide ribosomal RNA is filed under the name uncultured bacterium. RNAcentral's name for it is "SSU rRNA". It matches the Rfam family "Bacterial small subunit ribosomal RNA", at positions 26 to 518 of the family's 1533-position model. The record is from RNAcentral.
AGAACGAACGCUGGCGGCAUGCCUAACACAUGCAAGUCGAACGAGACCUUCGGGUCUAGUGGCGCACGGGUGCGUAACGCGUGGGAAUCUGCCCUUAGGUUCGGAAUAACUCAGAGAAAUUUGAGCUAAUACCGGAUGAUGACGUAAGUCCAAAGAUUUAUCGCCUAGGGAUGAGCCCGCGUAAGAUUAGGUAGUUGGUGGGGUAAAGGCCUACCAAGCCGACGAUCUUUAGCUGGUCUGAGAGGAUGAUCAGCCACACUGGGACUGAGACACGGCCCAGACUCCUACGGGAGGCAGCAGUGGGGAAUAUUGGACAAUGGGCGAAAGCCUGAUCCAGCAAUGCCGCGUGAGUGAUGAAGGCCUUAGGGUUGUAAAGCUCUUUUACCCGGGAUGAUAAUGACAGUACCGGGAGAAUAAGCCCCGGCUAACUCCGCGCCAGCAGCCGC